This 252-nucleotide ribosomal RNA is filed under the name uncultured bacterium. RNAcentral's name for it is "partial 16S ribosomal RNA". It matches the Rfam family "Bacterial small subunit ribosomal RNA", at positions 524 to 776 of the family's 1533-position model. The record is from RNAcentral.
UACGUAGGUCCCGAGCGUUGUCCGGAUUUAUUGGGCGUAAAGCGAGCGCAGGUGGUUUAUUAAGUCUGGUGUAAAAGGCAGUGGCUCAACCAUUGUAUGCAUUGGAAACUGGUAGACUUGAGUGCAGGAGAGGAGAGUGGAAUUCCAUGUGUAGCGGUGAAAUGCGUAGAUGUAUGGAGGAACACCGGUGGCGGAAGCGGCUCUCUGGCCUGUAACUGACACUGAGGCUCGAAAGCGUGGGGAGCAAACAGG